GGCCUGGCACAAGCGGAGGAGCAUGUGGUUUAAUUGCGAUGAUACGCGAGGAACCUUACCUGGGCUUAAAUGUCAUGCGACCAUUUCUGAAAAGAGAUUUCUCUUCGGAGCGAAUGGCAAGGUGCUGCAUGGCUGUCGUCAGCUCGUGCCGUGAGGUGUUGGUUAAGUCCCGCAACGAGCGCAACCCCUAUCUUUAGUUGCCAUCAGGUUAUGCUGGGGACUCUAGAGAAACUGCCUACGUAAGUAGUGAGGAAGGCGGGGACGACGUCAAGUCAUCAUGGCCCUUACGCCCAGGGCUACACACGUGCUACAAUGGUAAGUACAAUGAGAUGCCACUUGGUAACAAGGCGCAAA
This 354-nucleotide ribosomal RNA is filed under the name uncultured bacterium. Its description in RNAcentral is "bacterial SSU rRNA". It matches the Rfam family "Bacterial small subunit ribosomal RNA", at positions 917 to 1271 of the family's 1533-position model. The record is from RNAcentral.